RNAcentral lists this small RNA (20 nucleotides) under Arabidopsis thaliana (thale cress). Its description in RNAcentral is "Ath_wt_20510". The record is from RNAcentral. Lineage: Eukaryota; Viridiplantae; Streptophyta; Magnoliopsida; Brassicales; Brassicaceae.
GCCGCUCACGCCCGGUCGUA